CUUCAAUCGUUUUCAGCAUUUAGUGCCGCCAGCGGAAAUUUAAAGCUGUAGUAAUGGGCCCGGUAACCCAUAAAGAAAGCUAAGCCCAAAAUUGAAAACAUUGGGAAUAAUCACUGAACUUAACCCAAUAAAAGAUGGGCUUCUCUUGAGCUCUUGAUGAUAAAAGUUUUCAAAAACCCUAAUUUGAGGUUAGGGUUUUAGAUCUGUCUCUAAUAGCGCGCACACCCGAGAGAAGUAGAAGCGUCUUCGAUUGCAAGGGCGAAGAUGUUUCCCGGAAUGUUCAUGAGGAAGCCGGAUAAGGCGGAGGCGUUGAAGCAGCUCAAGACCCACGCGGCAAUGUUCGGAGUUUGGGUUGCUGUCAUUCGGGUCACACCUUACGUUCUCCAUUAUUUCUCCGAUAGCAAAGAAGAACUCAAGCUCGAACUCUAAUUUCCUUCACAGGUAAAAAAUUUAUAUGUUAACUAAACGGUGUUAUGGUCCAGUUCUCUGCCUACGCAGGAACUUUGUGUAUGUAUGUCUACGUAUGCAUCUGUAUUGAAAUGAAAUCGUUAUUAUUUUCUAUGAAUUAUGUAUAGUCUAUCUUGAUUACGAGCAAGACUUAUUUUUUUUAACUGGACUGAUUAUUUCAUGAUCAACUAUAGGUAAAAUUACAUAUUCGUUUCCUAGUGUGUGAUCAGACGUGCUUGAAUAAGGGGAUGCAGAUGACUCAUUUAUUUGUAAACCAAUCUAAUUUAUAGGUAGGUGGUAUCUUGUUUUGAGAUGAACUUGUUACUGGAAUUAACGUGAAAAAAGGGAUUUGCUAGACUGUUGGUUUUCUGGUCUUGUAUAUAAUGUGCUUUUUUGGACGAUAAAGGUUUGUAUUCCUAAGAUGCAAAUAUUGCCUAAUCAUUAUCUUGUUAUUGGAGGUGAAAUGGAAGUUUGUGCUUUGGACUGCCGCCCUAACGGGGGAUUUUUCUAAAUGGUCUAUCACUAUUCAUUUUUGCUAAAAUGCCUAUAUUACCCUUAAUGAAAUGGCUUGUCAUAUUUUGCACAAAAUAUCCUAAUUUAUUGGAAUGUUCCAAAAUUCUUCUAUUUCUCUUAUUUCGAAUUUUAAUAUAUAGUUUCAUCCUUUGAUCUAGUAAAUUAGUAUAAUCUGUAAUAUAAUUGUCAUAUAAUUCUUUAAGAUUAUCAUAUUCCUUAGAUGAUAUAUCCAUAGUCUCUCGUUGAGAAAAAAUAUUUUUUAUUUUUUCUAAUAGUAUUUCUAACAGAUUAUCUAAUCUUUUAAUUGUAUAGCCUGGCAUCAUAUAGAUAAUUCCUUACAAGCUUUAUGAUAAAUAAUAAUAACAUGAUAGAUAAGUUUUUGCAAACAUGUUAAGUAAUAAUCCCUACGAUUCUUUCAAGAUAUUAAAAGAAUUCUUUCUAAAUUUAACAAAGACAAUAAUUUUACCUUACUUUUGAUCUUAAAUCUGCAUUCUUAGAAUCGAGUGACCUUCAGGCUCUGAAUCUGCAAACUUCUCCCCCAAACGGCCUUUUGCCUUAAUGGGAAUUUUGCUAUUUCAGCUUCUUGCCUUCACUGUAUCUUUUCUUAGAAUUAAGUAUAAGGAUCUUAAGUAGAGAAAAUUCUCUCUUUGUUAAAGUAAAAAAGAAAUUAUCUUCUUUAAUCUGUCAAGAAUCUACGGGAUAGGAAGUUUAGAAAAUCAUAUUUUUCUUAUAUCAAAAGAUUGGAAUUUUAUUUCUAUAAUGAUUUAUACAAGAUUUCUAUUGUAUACAAGGGAGUUAUCAGAAAAACUGGUUUUAAAGAAAGCUUAGGAAAAGAGAAUGGUUUCUAACUCGAGAUGAUCCAUUCUUUCCCCAAAGACCUCCAUUUAUACAUGACUCAAACUUGCUAUUAUUGGUCUAUUACAUCAUUGCAUAUAUCAGAAUUUGAAAAGGCUCACAUGCCUCUCUAUUCUUUUCCUCCUGGGGUCUACAUUUUCACAUGCGUUUUUUACUUUUUCAUCAAAGGGGCAUCUUUUCCUCUAUUAUUGUCGCUACAUCUUUGGCUCCAUAUGCAACUGGCUAGAUGCUUUGGUAGUGGUAGGUCCCUAUCUUUUAUCAAUCUUUUUAGUCUUGUUUGCGUGUGGGGCACUCCCUCAAUCUGCAUGAUUCUUGAAUUGUUGUAGGACUUCCAUUAAUUCGAUGAGUAUCAAAUUUCUGGUUAUAUUCUUUCAAAAUAGUAGAUUCUUCUUUUCCAUUAUUCAUAAGGAGUGUCCAUCCUUCAUUUGACAUAAGCAUCUGAAUUUUUUAUCAUAUA
This 2272-nucleotide long non-coding RNA is filed under the name Olea europaea subsp. europaea. The record is from RNAcentral. Lineage: Eukaryota; Viridiplantae; Streptophyta; Magnoliopsida; Lamiales; Oleaceae.